Molecule: long non-coding RNA, 996 nt
Organism: Juglans regia (Persian walnut)
Lineage: Eukaryota; Viridiplantae; Streptophyta; Magnoliopsida; Fagales; Juglandaceae
Exons: 2
Source: RefSeq, a predicted model, not a curated record
UGGUUUAAUUUGUUAUUCUAGCAAUAUUUGCUUAAGGAGUCUACUGCCAAGUUAAAAUUUAAGCUUUUUGAAUUACUAUAUGCAGUGCUGUUUUAAAAAAUAAUAUAAAAAAAUAUUAGCAGUCUUUCUAUUUUGAGGCGAAUUUGAGAGGCAAAUGAUGUUCUUAAUUAUAAGAGAUCUAGAAUUGCAAGUAAAGAGGGAGGCCCUUGAUGUCUUUGAUUAUAUAUGCUUAGGAGUUGGCACUACAUGGAAGUUACUAAGGCAUGGAAAAGGUACCUGAAUAAUAUCUAGACACUAAGGAGCAGACAUUAAAAAUAAAAUAAAAAAACUAGUUUCUAAUGAUAUGAUUGGUAUUUGACCUGAUUGUUAUUUUGGUGUUGUCAUCAACAAAGUUUUCUUUAUCCUUUGCUAAACGCACUCUGGAUCAAUCAUUAUGCUUCUAUGAGGUCGAAGCCACACUGAAAUUCUCAAAUACUAUAACAAAUCCAGGACAAUCCUUCUUAGGGUGACCAACCUACAACACAAAGAGAUUAUCAUACUGCAAGUUCUUGAAGUGGGCAUAUUGUAAUCAAGAGAAUGUGCUCCAAUUUCGAGAAAGAACAAAUAAACUGUUAAGGAAUGAGAGAGAACUCGAAAAGAGACUCGACGAUGUCAAAAAGAGGGAGAUUGAGCUCUAUAAGAGAUCGGAUGAGAUUGAAAAGAGAGAGAUGCUACUAUCCAAUAUAACCAAGGAGGUUCGGAAGAAGGAGUUUAUGCUUGUUAUACGUGAAGCUGAAAUAUCGCGUUCAUGCACACUACUCCGAAUGUAUUGGGCUUUUGCAUUUGUAGUUGGUUGUUGUAUUGGACUCCAUAGUUGAUGUAGAUAUAUUAAGUUCUUAGAUUCUGCCUAAAGUUGGUGCUAACUUGUAAUCUUAAACUCACUUUGGAGGUUGACCAAUUUGUAAAACAGUUAAAGUAGAACACUAGAAAUAUUGGUAGUUUAGUGCCAAUUGAUAA